AAAAUUAACUUGUUUCCUUCAACUUCAGUAUAUUAUUGAACAUUUGAAUACAUCUUUAUGAGAAAAUAGUGUGCACCCAGCUAGCAGCUGCUGAGAAAUUCAAAUUUCAAGGUGAAGCUGUGUCAAAGUUCAAGGUGAAGCUGUCUCAAACAUUCAAGAAAACACACAGACUCCAACUGUACAAGAGGAGAGUGAAGAGGAAGAGGUUGAUGAAACAGGUGUAGAAGUUAAGGACAUAGAAUUGGUC
This 247-nucleotide long non-coding RNA is filed under the name Homo sapiens (human). RNAcentral's name for it is "non-protein coding lnc-VSNL1-5:1". The record is from RNAcentral. Lineage: Eukaryota; Metazoa; Chordata; Mammalia; Primates; Hominidae.